GUGAGGAAUAUUGGUCAAUGGGCGGGAGCCUGAACCAGCCAAGUCGCGUGAAGGAAGAAGGAUCUAUGGUUCGCAAACUUCUUUUGCAGGGGAAUAAAGUGCAGGACGUGUCCUGUUUUGUAUGUACCCUGAGAAUAAGGAUCGGCUAACUCCGUGCCAGCAGCCGCGGUAAUACGGAGGAUCCGAGCGUUAUCCGGAUUUAUUGGGUUUAAAGGGUGCGUAGGUGGUUUGAUAAGUCAGCGGUGAAAGUUUGCAGCUUAACUGUAAAAAUGCCGUUGAAACUGUCGGACUUGAGUGUAAAUGAGGUAGGCGGAAUGCGUGGUGUAGCGGUGAAAUGCAUAGAUAUCACGCAGAACUCCGAUUGCGAAGGCAGCUUACUAAGCUACAACUGACACUGAAGCACGAAAGCGUGGGGAUCAAACAGGAUUAGAAACCCCGGUAGUCC
Molecule: ribosomal RNA, 445 nt
Filed under: uncultured bacterium
Lineage: Bacteria
Description: partial 16S ribosomal RNA
Rfam family: Bacterial small subunit ribosomal RNA
Source: RNAcentral